Molecule: ribosomal RNA, 492 nt
Filed under: uncultured bacterium
Lineage: Bacteria
Description: bacterial SSU rRNA
Rfam family: Bacterial small subunit ribosomal RNA
Source: RNAcentral
AUUGAACGCUGGCGGCAUGCCUUACACAUGCAAGUCGAACGGUAACAGGUCUUCGGAUGCUGACGAGUGGCGAACGGGUGAGUAAUACAUCGGAACGUGCCCGAUCGUGGGGGAUAACGGAGCGAAAGCUUUGCUAAUACCGCAUACGAUCUACGGAUGAAAGCAGGGGACCGCAAGGCCUUGCGCGGACGGAGCGGCCGAUGGCAGAUUAGGUAGUUGGUGGGAUAAAAGCUUACCAAGCCGACGAUCUGUAGCUGGUCUGAGAGGACGACCAGCCACACUGGGACUGAGACACGGCCCAGACUCCUACGGGAGGCAGCAGUGGGGAAUAUUGGACAAUGGGCGCAAGCCUGAUCCAGCAAUGCCGCGUGUGUGAAGAAGGCCUGCGGGUUGUAAAGCACUUUCAGUGGGGAAGAACAGGUUCGGGUCAAUACCCCGGAGCCCUGACGUUACCCACAGAAGAAGCACCGGCUAACUCCGUGCCAGCAGCCG